RNAcentral lists this ribosomal RNA (677 nucleotides) under uncultured bacterium. RNAcentral's name for it is "bacterial SSU rRNA". It matches the Rfam family "Bacterial small subunit ribosomal RNA", at positions 580 to 1256 of the family's 1533-position model. The record is from RNAcentral.
UUGGAAAGUCAGGUGUGAAAACCUACAGCUUAACUGUAGAACUGCACUUGAAACUCCCAACCUAGAGUAUGGAAGGGGCAGAUGGAAUUAGUGGUGUAGGGGUAAAAUCCGUAGAUAUCACUAGGAAUACCCAAAGCGAAGGCGAUCUGCUGGGACAUUACUGACGCUAAGGCGUGAAAGCGUGGGGAGCAAACAGGAUUAGAUACCCUGGUAGUCCACGCCCUAAACGAUGAACACUAGUCGUCGCUCUGCUAGUCAGGGCGGUGAUGCACUUAACAGAUUAAGUGUUCCGCCUGGGGAGUACGGUCGCAAGAUUAAAACUCAAAGGAAUAGACGGGGACCCGCACAAGUGGUGGAGCAUGUGGUUUAAUUCGAAGAUACGCGAAGAACCUUACCUGGCCUUGACAUUGAUUGAACACUCUAGAGAUAGAGUGGUGCCCUUCGGGGAACAUGAAAACAGGUGCUGCACGGCUGUCGUCAGCUCGUGUCGUGAGAUGUUGGGUUAAGUCCCGCAACGAGCGCAACCCUCGUCCUUAGUUGCAAACUAUUCGGUAGUGCACUCUAAGGAGACUGCCUUCGCAAGGAGGAGGAAGGUGAGGACGACGUCAAGUCAUCAUGGCCCUUAUGGCCAGGGCUACACACGUGCUACAAUGGGGCGUACAGAGUGUUGCGAUACC